GAUGAACGCUGGCGGCGUGCCUAAUACAUGCAAGUCGAGCGAACAGACGAGGAGCUUGCUCCUCUGACGUUAGCGGCGGACGGGUGAGUAACGCGUGGAUAACCUACCUAUAAGACUGGGAUAACUUCGGGAAACCGGAGCUAAUACCGGAUAACAUGUUGAACCGCAUGGUUCAACAGUGAAAGACGGUCUUGCUGUCACUUAUAGAUGGAUCCGCGCCGCAUUAGCUAGUUGGUAAGGUAACGGCUUACCAAGGCAACGAUGCGUAGCCGACCUGAGAGGGUGAUCGGCCACACUGGAACUGAGACACGGUCCAGACUCCUACGGGAGGCAGCAGUAGGGAAUCUUCCGCAAUGGGCGAAAGCCUGACGGAGCAACGCCGCGUGAGUGAAGAAGGUCUUCGGAUCGUAAAACUCUGUUAUUAGGGAAGAACAAAUGUGUAAGUAACUAUGCACGUCUUGACGGUACCUAAUCAGAAAGCCACGGCUAACUACGUG
This 497-nucleotide ribosomal RNA is filed under the name uncultured bacterium. RNAcentral's name for it is "partial 16S ribosomal RNA". It matches the Rfam family "Bacterial small subunit ribosomal RNA", at positions 28 to 507 of the family's 1533-position model. The record is from RNAcentral.